AGAGUUUGAUCCUGGCUCAGAGCGAACGCUGGCGGCAGGCCUAACACAUGCAAGUCGAACGAACUCUUCGGAGUUAGUGGCGGACGGGUGAGUAACACGUGGGAACGUGCCUUUAGGUUCGGAAUAACUCAGGGAAACUUGUGCUAAUACCGAAUGUGCCCUUCGGGGGAAAGAUUUAUCGCCUUUAGAGCGGCCCGCGUCUGAUUAGCUUGUUGGUGGGGUAAUGGCCCACCAAGGCUACGAUCAGUAGCUGGUCUGAGAGGAUGACCAGCCACAUUGGGACUGAGACACGGCCCGAACUCCUACGGGAGGCAGCAGUGGGGAAUCUUGCGCAAUGGGCGAAAGCCUGACGCAGCCAUGCCGCGUGUAUGAUGAAGGUCUUAGGAUUGUAAAAUACUUUCACCGGUGAAGAUAAUGACUGUAGCCGAGA
This 430-nucleotide ribosomal RNA is filed under the name uncultured bacterium. RNAcentral's name for it is "bacterial SSU rRNA". It matches the Rfam family "Bacterial small subunit ribosomal RNA", at positions 8 to 484 of the family's 1533-position model. The record is from RNAcentral.